GAAAGCCUGCGAUUGGUCUCCACCUUCUUGCGUCUCCCAGCGCGAUGAAUGGCAGAGGCCUCUGGGUUGCCUAUGAGGCCACUAAGGCCAGUCUCUUGGGCUGCAGGAGGGUGGCGUGGAGUCGGCGUUCCACAAGACAACCUCGGGCACCACGCCAGCAGCCAUCAGGAAGCUCUACCAGGUUAAGGGGAAGAAGAACAUCCGUGCGACCGAGAGGGCUCUGAGCUGGGACAGCUUCAACACUGGGGACUGCUUCAUCCUGGACCUGGGUCAGAACAUCUUUGCCUGGUGUGGUGGCAAGUCCAACAUCCUGGAGCGCAACAAGGCGAGAGACCUGGCCCUGGCCAUCCGGGACAGCGAGCGGCAGGGGAAGGCCCAGGUGGAGAUCAUCACUGACGGAGAGGAGCCAGC
This 411-nucleotide long non-coding RNA is filed under the name Rattus norvegicus (Norway rat). RNAcentral's name for it is "long non-coding RNA NONRATT020567". The record is from RNAcentral. Lineage: Eukaryota; Metazoa; Chordata; Mammalia; Rodentia; Muridae.